AUCAUUGUCUAUGAUAUCUGCAAUGGAAAUGAUCACUAGGCAAUUUCAGCCUUGCAAAUCUAACGGGACAGAAACAGGGCCAGAUGCACAGGGUGGUUUACGUGACUGCACAGCUGCAAAGAUGAUCUCUGGGACUUUUCUUGACAUGCCGCAAAUGCUGAAAAGGAAUUCCCUUCUGCUUCUAGAAGUCAUGAACUAGAUAUGAUUUAAAAGAAAAAGCUAAGGUGUUUGUUGUCCUUGGCAUCUGAUGUUGUGGAAUAUGAUGGAUGGGUGAGCAGGAACUGACAAACUGGCUGGGAGGUAACAGCUGAGGCCAGCCUGGUCUGCUCAUUGAUGGUGCUGGAUUUGAACCAAACGUACCAGGAGGUCCUCAAAUGCAAUUUGAAUUGUUGAUUCUCUCAUUAGUCUUGAGAGUGGCCAGGGCAUGGGGUGUUAGUAACAUCCCUGUUUGCUAAGGAAGAGACUGAGAUUUCAGGCAGGGAAGUGACUUCCUCACAUCUCCAGACUCAGCCUCCAGGGCCCUCAGCACUGCACCCUGGUUGCUGUGCGGGUCUCACCCUGCAGUACAUGAGCGAGGCAGACAGAAGACAGAAGCAGAGCUUUAGAUGGAGGCGAAACGAGUCCAGAUAUGUGUGCCGGAACCUGGUCCUCCUAGGAUUCAAGUUGCUUACAGAGAGGGACAAGACCCAACAAGCUUCCCAAUUUUGAUAAAAUUCUUCACUGAGAUUGUGCAGGUCACUGUCACUCUGCGAAGGUGCUGCUUUUCUCAACCCAAAGGAAACUGGGAUAGAGGAAAAUGCACUGAAGUG
Homo sapiens (human) is the source of this 809-nucleotide long non-coding RNA. Ensembl annotates it as LY86 antisense RNA 1. Its record names the gene LY86-AS1. The record is from Ensembl. Lineage: Eukaryota; Metazoa; Chordata; Mammalia; Primates; Hominidae.